Molecule: small RNA, 27 nt
Filed under: Bombyx mori (domestic silkworm)
Lineage: Eukaryota; Metazoa; Arthropoda; Insecta; Lepidoptera; Bombycidae
Description: ovarian small RNA-37700
Source: RNAcentral
UUGACUAGUAGGACUACAUGGGAACUC